Molecule: long non-coding RNA, 282 nt
Filed under: Homo sapiens (human)
Lineage: Eukaryota; Metazoa; Chordata; Mammalia; Primates; Hominidae
Description: non-protein coding lnc-TXNRD2-4:1
Source: RNAcentral
GGAGAAGAUUCAUUCAUUCAUCCAUCGGACAGCAGCCACCUCCUGCCCUCUGGGAGCCUGGCCUGCAGGUGUGGGAUCCAGGUGUGCAAUCUCACCUUAACUCAUUCUCUGUGUGUGCUAGCCAGGCCUUGGACAGGGGAGGGGCCUGCCCCUGCAGUCUGUUCUUCAGGACACAGACCGUGGUGCAUCUGUGAAGUCCGGUGGUUUGGGUAGAUAAGUAAUAUGGGACCAGGGCCCAGCCACCUGUGCCCCAGCAUCCCUCUGUGUGUUGGUCCAAUCUUG